Leptonychotes weddellii (Weddell seal) is the source of this 285-nucleotide non-coding RNA. The record is from RefSeq and is a predicted model, not a curated record. Lineage: Eukaryota; Metazoa; Chordata; Mammalia; Carnivora; Phocidae.
AUCAUUUCACCAACCUUUAUCAUUAGCAGGAAUAUACAUUUUAUUCAGUACCAGAAGCUGUUUGCAGAUCCAUUCUUAAUUAUGCAAAAAACCCUUAUAACACAGGUAAUGGAGAAAUAUAUGGAGGGGAAGGGAAAAAAACCCCCAGAUGACAAAAUCCUGUAUUUUACAGACCGACUGAAAUAAUUUUAUUAUACCCUUUGCGACAUACCUACAGUGAGCACACACUGAACAUUAAAGAAGAACUGGCAAUCUUACAUAUAUAUUUGUGGAGUCCCCAGAUGU